Molecule: ribosomal RNA, 478 nt
Filed under: uncultured bacterium
Lineage: Bacteria
Description: partial 16S ribosomal RNA
Rfam family: Bacterial small subunit ribosomal RNA
Source: RNAcentral
GACGAACGCUGGCGGCGUGCUUAACACAUGCAAGUCGAACGGUAAGGCCCUUCGGGGUACACGAGUGGCGAACGGGUGAGUAACACGUGGGUGAUCUGACCUGCACUUCGGGAUAAGCCUGGGAAAAUGGGUCUACUACCGGAUAGGCCCAUGCGCUGCACGGUGUGUGGGGGUGAGCUUUUGCGGUGUGGGAUGGGCCCGCGGCCUAUCAGCUUGUUGGGGGGGUAAUGGCCUACCAAGGCGACGACGGGUAGCCGGCCUGAGAGGGCGACCGGCCACACUGGGACUGAGAUACGGCCCAGACUCCUACGGGAGGCAGCAGGGGGGAAUAUUGCACAAUGGGCGCAAGCCUGAUGCAGCGACGCCGCGUGAGGGAUGACGGCCUUCGGGUUGUAAACCUCUUUCAGUAGGGACGAAGCGCAAGUGACGGUACCUACAGAAGAAGGACCGGCCAACUACGUGCCAGCCGCCGCCGUAA